CCUACGGGAGGCUGCAGUGAGGAAUAUUGGUCAAUGGACGAGAGUCUGAACCAGCCAAGUAGCGUGAAGGAUGACUGCCCUAUGGGUUGUAAACUUCUUUUAUAAAGGAAUAAAACGAGGCACGUGUGCCUUUUUGCAUGUACUUUAUGAAUAAGGAUCGGCUAACUCCGUGCCAGCAGCCGCGGUAAUACGGAGGAUCCGAGCGUUAUCCGGAUUUAUUUGGUUUAAAGGGAGCGUAGAUGGGUUGUUAAGUCAGUUGUGAAAGUUUGCGGCUCAACCGUAAAAUUGCAAUGGAUACUGGCAGUCUUGAGUACAGUUGAGGUAGGCGGAAUUCGUGGUGUAGCGGUGAAAUGCUUAGAUAUCACGAAGAACCCCGAUUGCGAAGGCAGCUUACUAAACUGUGACUGACAUUGAUGCUCGAAAGUGUGGGUAUCAAACAGGAUUAGAUACCCUAGUAGUC
This 460-nucleotide ribosomal RNA is filed under the name uncultured bacterium. Its description in RNAcentral is "partial 16S ribosomal RNA". It matches the Rfam family "Bacterial small subunit ribosomal RNA", at positions 338 to 795 of the family's 1533-position model. The record is from RNAcentral.